GGGCUGGUUAGCUCAGGGGCUACACCCAAAGAGAUAAAAUCAUAGAAUGGUUUGGGUUGGAAGGGACCCUAAAGAUCAUCCAUUUCCAACCCCCUGCCCUGGGCAGGGACACCUCCCACCAGACCAGGUUGCUCCAAGCCCCAUCCAGCCUGGCCUUGAACCCCUCCAGGGAUGGGGCAGCCACAACUUCUCUGGGCACCCUGUUCUAGUGACUCACCCCCCUCACAGCCAAGAAUGUCUUUCUGGUAUCUAAUCUAAAUCUCCCCUCUUCCAAUUUAAAACUGUUACCCCUUGUUCUGUCUAUGGGGUGCGGGUGUGUGACCUCUGGGCUCACUUGUCUGCACAACCAGUAACUCAGGGCACCUGUCAGUUCCUCUGCCCUCCCUUGGGAUGUGGUGGUCAAGUCUCUGCAAAGAUAUCUGUUUGCAGGAACCAAAAAAUCCUUAGAUUAGAGGUGUGUAAAAGUUACCGAAUUAGCUCUGCUCCCUGAUUGGGGUAAAGAGUUGUAAUUAUCCAUUAAUUGUUCUCUCUGCAGGAAAUGAAGGAAGCUGGGUGUGAUAUGCUGUGCAGAAGCCCAGGGACAUGAAAAUGCGGCCAAACCAGUCUGCUAAAGUCAAGACUGAAUGGAAAGAUCAGCAGGACCGUUUCUGUGGCCAGGCAGAGUUCUGCAAGCUUAAUAAUUACUUAUCGAUUUGGGUGAUGGAAUUUAUGGAGGCUCCCCUGAAGACUUUGAGGAUGGUAGGUCUGACCCAGCUGCUGACUCUAGGGCUACCCUCACCGCACCAACGGCUGAAAAGCAGACUGGACCCGCAUGGACAGUCCCGGCUGGCCACGAGAGGAGAGCACGAGGCCCCGGC
Molecule: long non-coding RNA, 857 nt
Filed under: Calidris pugnax (ruff)
Lineage: Eukaryota; Metazoa; Chordata; Aves; Charadriiformes; Scolopacidae
Description: lncRNA (ENSCPUG00000001484.1)
Source: RNAcentral